RNAcentral lists this unclassified non-coding RNA (240 nucleotides) under Hevea brasiliensis (rubber tree). Lineage: Eukaryota; Viridiplantae; Streptophyta; Magnoliopsida; Malpighiales; Euphorbiaceae. The record is from RNAcentral.
UAGUCAAUGGCUUUAUCUCUGUCUUUCUUCGCCACACUUCAUUUGACUCUGCUCUUCUUACUGUUUUUCGUAAACCCUUUAGCGAUUAAUGGUUAUUCAGACGAGGAUAUAGACUCUGAGUUCAUUCUUUUUCAUCAAGAUUAUACCCCACCGGCUCCACCACCUCCGCCGCCGCACCCCCCGUCGGUAUCAUGUGAGGAUGAUCUAGGAGGUGUUGGAUCGUUGGAUACUACUUGUAAG